Molecule: ribosomal RNA, 253 nt
Filed under: uncultured bacterium
Lineage: Bacteria
Description: partial 16S ribosomal RNA
Rfam family: Bacterial small subunit ribosomal RNA
Source: RNAcentral
UACGGGGGGGGCAAGCGUUGUUCGGAAUUACUGGGCGUAAAGGGCUCGUAGGCGGCCAACUAAGUCGGAUGUGAAAUCCCCAGGCUUAACCUGGGAACUGCAUCCGAUACUGGAUGGCUUGAAUCCGGGAGAGGGAUGCAGAAUUCCAGGUGUAGCGGUGAAAUGCGUAGAUAUCGGGAGGAACACCAGUGGCGAAGGCGGCUACCUGGCACAUAACUGACGCUGAUACGCGAAAGCGUGGGGAGCGAACAGG